Molecule: ribosomal RNA, 448 nt
Filed under: uncultured bacterium
Lineage: Bacteria
Description: bacterial SSU rRNA
Rfam family: Bacterial small subunit ribosomal RNA
Source: RNAcentral
GAUGAACGCUAACGAGACGCUUAACACAUGCAAGUCGAAUGUUGCAGUAAUGCGACAUGGCAGACGGGUGAGUAACACGUGCUUAAUUUACCCCGGAGUGGGGGACAACAUCGGAAACGGUGAUAAUCCCGCAUACGUUCCAUAAAAUGAAAAUAUAUGGAAGAAAGAUUUAUCGCUCUGGGAGAAGGGCGCGGCUGACUAGUUAGUUGGUGAGGUAAUGGCUCACCAAGACGAUGAUCAGUAGCUGGUCUGAGAGGACGAACAGCCACAAUGGGACUGAGACAAGGCCCAUACCCCUACGGGGGGCAGCAGUGGGGAAUCUUGCGCAAUGGACGAAAGUCUGACGCAGCGAUCUCGCGUGAAGGAUGAAGCUUUGCGGAGUGUAAACUCCUUUUCUGGGAGAAAACAACUGAUGGUAUCUCAGGAAUAAGGGACGGCUAACUACGUG